ACGUUAGCCAGAAUGGUAAUAAAUCCGAGAUUGAUAUUGGUCGAGUUAGGAAGAUAGAUGAUGCAGCAGAAGGGCAUAGAAGCAUGAGCUCAGAUAUGAUGGAAAUGGAAGACAUGAAAUCUGGUGUUUCAUCACGUAAGAAGAAGCAGUUGAAAGACAAAGGGAAAGGAAAAACUGCUUCUGCUGCAAUUGAUGAUGGGAAGAAAGGAAAGGAGAUGCAAAAAGCUAAAAGAAAUUCAAAGGCAGCUGAUGGAAUCUGUGAAAGCCUAGUUGAUAAAAAGAAUAAGGGUAUUAAAUCUGGAUCUGGGAAGUCCAAAGUUGACACAACUAAGACUUCUCCGGCGAAAAAAACAAAGCCCGGUGAUGUGGAAUCCCCUGAAGAAUCUCUAAA
Molecule: long non-coding RNA, 391 nt
Filed under: Linum usitatissimum (flax)
Lineage: Eukaryota; Viridiplantae; Streptophyta; Magnoliopsida; Malpighiales; Linaceae
Description: long non-coding RNA (LUSI_LNC001419)
Source: RNAcentral